Molecule: non-coding RNA, 29 nt
Filed under: Rattus norvegicus (Norway rat)
Lineage: Eukaryota; Metazoa; Chordata; Mammalia; Rodentia; Muridae
Source: RNAcentral
UGUGACAGUUGCAUAAAUUAGAUCUGCCU